CCUACGGGAGGCAGCAGUGGGGGAUAUUGCACAAUGGGGGAAACCCUGAUGCAGCGACGCCGCGUGGGUGAAGAAGCGCCUCGGCGCGUAAAGCCCUGUCAGCAGGGAAGAAAAUGACGGUAACUGAAGAAGAAGCCACGGCUAACUACGUGCCAGCAGCCGCGGUAAUACGUAGGGGGCAAGCGUUAUCCGGAAUUACUGGGUGUAAAGGGGGCGCAGACGGCGAUGCAAGCCAGGAGUGAAAGCCCGGGGCCCAACCCCGGAACUGCUCGUGGAACUGCGUGGCUAGAGUGCAGGAGGGGCGGGCGGAAUUCCAGGUGUAGCGGUGAAAUGCGUAGAUAUCAGGAGGAACACCGGUGGCGAAGGCGGCCUGCUGGACUGCAACUGACGUUGAGGCCCGAAAGCGUGGGGAGCAAACAGGAUUAGAUACCCCUGUAGUC
RNAcentral lists this ribosomal RNA (440 nucleotides) under uncultured bacterium. RNAcentral's name for it is "partial 16S ribosomal RNA". It matches the Rfam family "Bacterial small subunit ribosomal RNA", at positions 338 to 795 of the family's 1533-position model. The record is from RNAcentral.